CACCUAAAAAAAAUAUAAAGAGCAUCUCAUUCUCCUCAAAAAGCUUCAAAGUGCAAGAAAGGUAUGUAUCCCCUCAAAAGAGCAAAAGUAGAAUUAGACUUUCACCAUUGUUAUCACCAUCAUCACCAUACACCAUUCACUCGCCACACAUGCACAUCUUGAUUUGACUUAUUGACUUGUUUCUCUAGAUCCAUUGUUUGACUAUGCAAUAAAUGUCUUGUAAGUACGUAUUAGCUCUCUCCCACCUAUGAGCUCCUGAUAUCAAAACCUUAUUAGAGUAGGGUGAGAGAGAAGGCAAUGUCACUAUGCCUCAUACCAAAAAUACCAC
RNAcentral lists this long non-coding RNA (328 nucleotides) under Sorghum bicolor (sorghum). RNAcentral's name for it is "long non-coding RNA (SBIC_LNC004736)". Lineage: Eukaryota; Viridiplantae; Streptophyta; Magnoliopsida; Poales; Poaceae. The record is from RNAcentral.